GAAAGUUUUAAAAAGAUUUGAAUUUUCAAAUGUGCCCGUCAGUAUCUUUUUACAUUCUGAUUUCUAAAAUAACCUGCUUUUACUGUAGAAUGAGAACCCAACUCCUUUUAAAGUUGUAUGGCAGAGUCAUCUCGCAUCAAAGUGAUACUUUGACCAUGUGAAGAAACCAGUAUUGCAACUCUUCUGCUUGUUGCAUUCAUGCAAGAAUGGUGCCUCUGUAGAACUAUCCUCACAACUAUGAAGGCCCUGCCCAUAACUGUGAAGGCCCAGCUCAUAACUGUGAAGGCCCGGCUCAUAACUGUAAAGACCCUGCCCAUAACCAUGAAAUCCCUGUUCAUAACUGUGAAGGCCCUGCUCAUAACUGUAAAGACCCAUAACUGUGAAGGCCAUGCUCAUAACUAUGAAGGCCAUGCUCAUAACUGUGAAGGCCAUGCUCAUAAAGUGUGACGGCCCUGCCCAUAACUGUGAAGGCCCUGCUCAUAACUGUAAAGACCCUGCUCAUAACUGUGAAGGCCCUACUCAUAACUGUAAAGACCCUGCUCAUAACUGUGAAGGCCCUACUCAUAACUGUAAAGGCCUUGCUCAUGAUACUGUGGCAAGAUGAUGUGUGAACAAAUAAGUAGUCCCUCUAUUGCCAAAAUUAUUAUUAGGCGAUUGCCUGUGAUUUGAGAGGUCUAUGGGUCUCGUCGACAUGUCAUUGUGAAAUGCCACUGCCAUGAUGACAUAGAAAUGUAUAAUAGAAUGGCAGGUUUGUUACCAACCAAGUAACAGCCUGUACAGACUGAUGACCAAUUUGCGAUUAUAACGUUGGCUCAUAAUUAACAGGUGUGGGAGAGUCUGAUGCGUUUCACCAGUACAUAUGCGCAGGAGUAAAUGCAUUCUCUGGCCUGCAACCACGAUUUUCCUCACAGGUGCCUGAACUACCACAAGGAGUCACUAAAGAGCAACGAGACAAGGUAGUCCUGUCAUACACCACCCGCCCUCCCAGGACCUCCAAGGUAGACCUGUCUGACACCACCCGCCCUCCAAGGUAGUCCUGUCUGACACCACCCGCCCUCCAAGGUAGUCCUGUCCAACACCACCCGACCUCCCAGGACCUCCAAGGUAGUCCUGUCAUACACCACCCGACCUCCAAGGUAGCCCUGUCAUACACCACCCGACCUCCCAGGACCUCCAAGGUAGUCCUAUCAUACACCACCCGACCUCCCAGGACCUCCAAGGUAGUCCUGUCAUACACCACCCGACCUCCAAGGUAGCCCUGUCAUACACCACCCGACCUCCCAGGACCUCCAAGGUAGUCCUAUCAUACACCACCCGACCUCCCAGGACCUCCAAGGUAGUCCUGUCAUACACCACCCGACCUCCAAGGUAGUCCUGUCAUACACCACCCGACCUCCCAGGACCUCCAAGGUAGUCCUGUCCAACACCACCCGACCUCCCAGGACCUCCAAGGUAGUCCUGUCAUACACCACCCGACCUCCAAGGUAGUCCUGUCAUACACCACCCGACCUCCCAGGACCUCCAAGGUAGUCCUGUCCAACACCACCCGACC
Long non-coding RNA from Esox lucius (northern pike), 1552 nucleotides. The record is from Ensembl. NCBI's taxonomy places the organism in Eukaryota, Metazoa, Chordata, Actinopteri, Esociformes, Esocidae.